GGACCUAUACCCAGCCGUUGCUGGCUUGUGCGUUGUCUAGCGCCUGGCCGCAACGAGUAGGAGGGUCGUGGCGGUUGCGUCGAAGGCUUUGGGCGUAGGCCCAGCUGGAGCUUCCGUCAGUGCAGAUCUCGGUGGUAGUAGCAAAUAUUUAAGUUCGAUCCUUGAAGACUGAAGUGGAGAAGGGUUCCACGUGAACAGUAGUUGAAUGUGGGUCAGUCGAUCCUAAGAUACUGGCUUAUGCCUUGUAUCACUGAGAGGGAAAAGUUUCUUUUCUCUCGGAUAUCAAAAGGGAAUAGGGUUAAUAUUCCCUAACGCAGACACAGAGAUUGCGGCUCUUUGAGUCGCUUGCGCGGUAACGCAUUCGAACUUGGUUACGUCGCUCAGAGACCGAGCUAGAGUUCUCUUCUCUAGUUAAGGAACGGACUCCCUGGAAUCGGUUCAGCCGUAGAUAGGGACGUUGUUUCCGUAAAGCAUCGCGGUUUCUGUGAUGUCUCGUGUUCUUUGGACGGCCCUUGAAAAACCAAGGAAGGCUAUCAAUCUGUGCUGCAUCGUACCGAUCUCCGCAUC
Molecule: ribosomal RNA, 567 nt
Filed under: Uncinaria lucasi
Lineage: Eukaryota; Metazoa; Nematoda; Chromadorea; Rhabditida; Ancylostomatidae
Description: eukaryotic LSU rRNA
Rfam family: Eukaryotic large subunit ribosomal RNA
Source: RNAcentral